Molecule: long non-coding RNA, 321 nt
Organism: Clarias gariepinus (North African catfish)
Lineage: Eukaryota; Metazoa; Chordata; Actinopteri; Siluriformes; Clariidae
Exons: 3
Source: RefSeq, a predicted model, not a curated record
GCACACACUAAUUUGCACUUGAUUAAAAAUGGACAUGUGCCACAAAAUAGUCUACAUUUAUUUAAUAAUAGCAACAUCUGUAUCUUCAUCAGAAGGUGUUUCUGGGGAGAUUUUCCCAGCAGAAAUAUUUGCACCAUUCACAGUGAAAUUUGGUGAGGAUACAGCAUUAAAGUGCAGAGUUAUCAACUACCAUGAGAUCUCACAUACAGAAGUUCACAUGUAUUUGUGUAAAAAUGGUGUUGGAGAGAGAGUAAAACUACUUGGGAGUAAAGAUGAACACAUCUUUACUUUGAGGAACAUUUCAUUCCAAGACUCUGGUAA